This 109-nucleotide transfer RNA is filed under the name Mycosarcoma maydis (corn smut). Its description in RNAcentral is "tRNA-Val for anticodon AAC". It matches the Rfam family "tRNA". From Rfam's summary of the family: Transfer RNA (tRNA) molecules are approximately 80 nucleotides in length. Their secondary structure includes four short double-helical elements and three loops (D, anti-codon, and T loops). The record is from RNAcentral. Lineage: Eukaryota; Fungi; Basidiomycota; Ustilaginomycetes; Ustilaginales.
GGUUUCUUGGCGCAGUUGGUUAGCGCGUCUCCUUAACAAUUCUGAUUCUGAUCCAUCAGAUCGUUAGGGCUUACGGAGGAGGUCGCCGGUUCGAACCCGGCAGAAAUCA